This 367-nucleotide ribosomal RNA is filed under the name uncultured organism. RNAcentral describes it as "bacterial LSU rRNA". It matches the Rfam family "Bacterial large subunit ribosomal RNA", at positions 2099 to 2465 of the family's 2925-position model. The record is from RNAcentral.
CUUUACUGUAGCCUGGUAUUGGGUUCGGGCUUUGACUGCGCAGGAUAGGUGGGAGACUAUGAAGCUGCCCUUGUGGGGGCAGUGGAGUCAUCAGUGAGAUACCACUCUGUCAAGGCUAGAAUUCUAACCGUCUGCCGUUAUCCGGCGACGGAAAAGUAUCAGGUGGGCAGUUUGACUGGGGCGGUCGCCUCCUAGAUGGUAACGGAGGCGCGCAAAGGUUCCCUCGGGCUGGUUGGAAAUCAGCCGAAGAGUGUAAAGGCAGAAGGGAGCUUGACUGCAAGAGCAACAACUCAAGCAGGGACGAAAGUCGGCCUUAGUGAUCCGACGGCGCUGAGUGGAAGGGCCGUCGCUCAACGGAUAAAAGUUA